This 988-nucleotide ribosomal RNA is filed under the name Acinetobacter lwoffii. RNAcentral describes it as "bacterial SSU rRNA". It matches the Rfam family "Bacterial small subunit ribosomal RNA", at positions 38 to 1025 of the family's 1533-position model. The record is from RNAcentral. Lineage: Bacteria; Pseudomonadati; Pseudomonadota; Gammaproteobacteria; Moraxellales; Moraxellaceae.
GGGGGGAGGCUACCGUGCAGUCGAGCGGGGGAGGGUAGCUUGCUACUUAACCUAGCGGCGGACGGGUGAGUAAUGCUUAGGAAUCUGCCUAUUAGUGGGGGACAACAUCUCGAAAGGGAUGCUAAUACCGCAUACGUCCUACGGGAGAAAGCAGGGGACCUUCGGGCCUUGCGCUAAUAGAUGAGCCUAAGUCGGAUUAGCUAGUUGGUGGGGUAAAGGCCUACCAAGGCGACGAUCUGUAGCGGGUCUGAGAGGAUGAUCCGCCACACUGGGACUGAGACACGGCCCAGACUCCUACGGGAGGCAGCAGUGGGGAAUAUUGGACAAUGGGGGGAACCCUGAUCCAGCCAUGCCGCGUGUGUGAAGAAGGCCUUUUGGUUGUAAAGCACUUUAAGCGAGGAGGAGGCUACCGAGAUUAAUACUCUUGGAUAGUGGACGUUACUCGCAGAAUAAGCACCGGCUAACUCUGUGCCAGCAGCCGCGGUAAUACAGAGGGUGCAAGCGUUAAUCGGAUUUACUGGGCGUAAAGCGCGCGUAGGUGGCCAAUUAAGUCAAAUGUGAAAUCCCCGAGCUUAACUUGGGAAUUGCAUUCGAUACUGGUUGGCUAGAGUAUGGGAGAGGAUGGUAGAAUUCCAGGUGUAGCGGUGAAAUGCGUAGAGAUCUGGAGGAAUACCGAUGGCGAAGGCAGCCAUCUGGCCUAAUACUGACACUGAGGUGCGAAAGCAUGGGGAGCAAACAGGAUUAGAUACCCUGGUAGUCCAUGCCGUAAACGAUGUCUACUAGCCGUUGGGGCCUUUGAGGCUUUAGUGGCGCAGCUAACGCGAUAAGUAGACCGCCUGGGGAGUACGGUCGCAAGACUAAAACUCAAAUGAAUUGACGGGGGCCCGCACAAGCGGUGGAGCAUGUGGUUUAAUUCGAUGCAACGCGAAAACCUUACCUGGUCUUGACAUAGUAAGAACUUUCCAAAGAUGGAUUGGUGCCUUCGGGA